CGGGCUAACAUCAGAUGAUAUAUAAUCACGACAUCGUGGAAAUAUCAAAUCUUCGGAGCCUUGGGAUGAGCCUGCGUCUGAUUAGGUAGUUGGCGGAGUAAUAGCCCACCAAGCCUACGAUCAGUAGCUGGUCUGAGAGGAUGAUCAGCCACACUGGAACUGAGACACGGUCCAGACUCCUACGGGAGGCAGCAGUAAGGAAUAUUGCUCAAUGGGGGAAACCCUGAAGCAGCAACGCCGCGUGAAGGAUGAAAUACUUUUGUAUGUAAACUUCUGUAAGAUGAGAAAAAUAUUCUCCUCGGGAGAAUUGAUUGUACCAUCAGAGUAAGCCCCGGCUAACUACGUG
Molecule: ribosomal RNA, 346 nt
Filed under: uncultured bacterium
Lineage: Bacteria
Description: bacterial SSU rRNA
Rfam family: Bacterial small subunit ribosomal RNA
Source: RNAcentral